This 653-nucleotide ribosomal RNA is filed under the name uncultured bacterium. Its description in RNAcentral is "bacterial SSU rRNA". It matches the Rfam family "Bacterial small subunit ribosomal RNA", at positions 66 to 714 of the family's 1533-position model. The record is from RNAcentral.
ACGGCAGCACGGAGCUUGCUCUGGUGGCGAGUGGCGAACGGGUGAGUAAUAUAUCGGAACGUACCCUGGAGUGGGGGAUAACGUAGCGAAAGUUACGCUAAUACCGCAUACGAUCUAAGGAUGAAAGUGGGGGAUCGCAAGACCUCAUGCUCGUGGAGCGGCCGAUAUCUGAUUAGCUAGUUGGUAGGGUAAAAGCCUACCAAGGCAUCGAUCAGUAGCUGGUCUGAGAGGACGACCAGCCACACUGGAACUGAGACACGGUCCAGACUCCUACGGGAGGCAGCAGUGGGGAAUUUUGGACAAUGGGCGAAAGCCUGAUCCAGCAAUGCCGCGUGAGUGAAGAAGGCCUUCGGGUUGUAAAGCUCUUUUGUCAGGGAAGAAACGGUGAAGGCUAAUAUCCUUUGCUAAUGACGGUACCUGAAGAAUAAGCACCGGCUAACUACGUGCCAGCAGCCGCGGUAAUACGUAGGGUGCAAGCGUUAAUCGGAAUUACUGGGCGUAAAGCGUGCGCAGGCGGUUUUGUAAGUCUGAUGUGAAAUCCCCGGGCUCAACCUGGGAAUUGCAUUGGAGACUGCAAGGCUAGAAUCUGGCAGAGGGGGGUAGAAUUCCACGUGUAGCAGUGAAAUGCGUAGAUAUGUGGAGGAACACCGAUG